GUGCUUUCAAGCUGAGCUCUAAUGUAGAGAUCUGCUGCAAAGCCUUUGUCUCAUUUGCAUUAGCAAAACUUCCAAAAAAAAUUUCAAGUCUUCCAAUCAUAUCAAAAGAGUUUUUAUUUUCAUUUGCUCUCCCUUUCCUCACUGUUCCCCCAAAGAGAACAUUAAUGGUCUCUCAUGGAAAGGCACCUCAUUUUUUACCAAAGAAGCAAAUUAAAAAACAAAACAUGCAGGGUAGUGAUAAAAUACCCGAAUAAAAACUUAACGCCAGGAAACGCUGCAGACAGAGUUCUUCUGGUUCUACAUCAAAACCAAAACUAAGCUGCCUGGGCUUUAAAGUUUCACCUGUACUGAGAAGCACCAAAGAUUUCAGAGAGACGUGUGUCCUACCCAAAGAUGCACUGCACGGAUCUAGCUCGCUUCAGUACAACCAGAGGCUCAUUCACUGAAUGAGAUCUGAGUUCUGGCACCAUGUGGUGACACAACAGCUGCUAAAGCAGAAAAACAGGAGUCCUGUCAGACCUUCGGGAAAGGCAACAGCGGGGGUGGGGGGAAAGACCCGGAAAUAUCAAAGAUUUCUCCCGCGCAAGAGCACGAUUUCAGUUACAGUGGAGGGAAGAAGCCAGCUUACAAUGUGGCAGGCACAAGCCAGCUUUGGCACUUGUGUUACUGAAAAUAAUGUGGUGGCUGUCCCCAACUCAGCAGGCAACCAGCUGUGAAGGUUUACUUGCAGCAGUGACCACUUGAGCAGCGAGGCAUUUCUUAUCCCAGGGAAAGCUUGCUUGCUACCUGUAAAGCUACUCAAGUCCAGCUGUUAUGAAACAGAGACAUGAGGUAAUCAUUAUUUCCAGAAGAAUUAACAGGAUGCCAAGGGUGACACACGAAAAAUGACAGAGUAAAAUUUUAAAAUAAUGAACACACAUAGGCUUAAAAUCUACAUUGCCUUUUUCCUUUUUAAGCCCUAUCCAAUGAAAGACAGUUUAACAGCAUGAAGUGCAAGUUGUCUUACACUGGCUCAAAAAAAUAAAAAAUCACUGGAACAAUCAAACCCUGAACAUUCCUUAAUUAAAUGGACAAGUCUCUUGGGAAUGACAUGGGCAGAGACCAUACUUUUUGUAGACCAAACCUGAGCAGAGACUGGAUUUUGUUUCUUUUCUGCAAAUAGACAAAACAAGUAUUUCAAGAUACAGCUGAAGUGGUUUCAAAAUAGCAAUGACCCAGGUCACAAUCAGAAUUUUGUAUAUACAAUUUGUAUUUAACUUAAAAAAAUAAAGAAGUUCAAAAUACCUCCAGAGAACAUUCUAGCUUAGCAAAAUGUCCUGUACAAAAGUAGGCCACAUCUGUUGGUUUAAAAGAAGUCCACAGCAGUUGGUCUCUUCUUAGCUGACAUAGUAAAUGGUUUCUUCAUCUGGGGUUCUCUUGCUGGGGUAACUGUGGGUGACUUCAGCACCCCAUGACGAGGUUUCUGUUCAGGAUUGAAAGCCACACGGGAGGGUCCUUCUGGGCUCACUAAUAUACUUUUGUCAGUCUUUUUAAAUUCUGUUGAAAAACAAGCCAACAAGUUAGAAGAAAUGCAGCUGCUGGAACAACUGGACCCGUCAAACAACUGUGGAAUUGCCCAGCCCUGCAAGUCUGCCCUAGAGCCUUAAUUCCACUAAGGAUCAGAAGCCUAAGGCUGCAGAGGAAACAAAGAGAUGGUGGUGAAGUGCAUCUCUUAGCAGAGUCCCUUGGAGAACAGGGUCUGCUGCAAUCCACUGAGAGGCUGUGAACCAUUCCCAUGGUUCCACAGACCACCAGAGACCCUGGGCCUACUCCUGAGACACAAGCGUUCCAGCUAUCCUGAAGAACACUACUCCUGAGUUUAUGAUGGCUAAGCAAUGUCUGUGCUCUGACUGCUGAACAGCACUGCUCUAGUGUCUCAAGGUCAUCCCUUCUGCCAGCAGAGAGGCACUUAUCUUUCAUUUUGUGCAGCUGUGUUGUAUUAACAUAAAGACAUAUACUUAAAUAUACUGUUCUCAAUUUAAACUUGAUUUACUGCACACCUCAGUGAGUUAAAAAUUAGCUAAAUGAAUACAUGAAAUACAAUUCUUUGCUAUGGAGCAAGACAUUUAUUAAACAGGGAAAACACUGCUUACAGAAGGGAAGUGACAUUUAUCUACUCGUGACCAUCAAUAAACCACAGGCAGCCAAGAUAAAAAGGAAACUUUGCCAUGUUAAAGUCUGAUCUUAUCAGCAUAUCAGCACUCUUUGUCCUGGGAAACAAGUGAGCAAUGAAAGCUGUGAAACCCACGUGUUUCCCUCAGAGGUGCCCUGCAAACAGGCAGCUCAGGAAGGCGACUCCAUCACUCUGCUGCAGUUUUCCUUCUAUGAGGCUCCUUCUGCAGGUCAGUAAUGCAGCACCCUGGAAUUGUUCAAGUCUAGCUGUUGGGCUGAAUGUCCUAAACUUUCCCAUCUCCUCUGAAAAGGAACUUGAGGAGGGUUUGUAAACUAUAUACAAUUAUUGUAACAAAAAAGGGACCAGAAUCAUCCUGUUCUAGAGGUGUUCUCUAGGUGUGUGUGAGUGCAUGAAGCUUCCCCCUCCCUCAGCCACAAGAGAGACUGUGGACACACACAGAUGUAUCAGACUCACCAGCAGUCAUGUUUUUAUUCAAGCCAAAUGUGACUUUUUUGCAGCUGGGUGACUGCAGCUUGUUCAGCUAUAAAACAAAAUGGAGACAUGAAAUAAAAUAAGAUUUCUGAGGCAAUGCUAGGAGUUCUUUUACCUGCAUCCCACCAGUGUAAAGCAGCCUACUUCCUUCAUCUGGUUUGGAACUGCCCCAAUCCUCUUGCACUGAUCCUGCUGAGAUAGCACUGUUUUUCUAGCCAAAAGCAAACAUACUCCAUUUGUGGAGAAAUCACAUACUCUCCUUAAUGUCAUUACAUAAUUCAACAACAAACAAGAACAUAUUUGUGUAUUAAAUAGAGUGGCCCCACUGCACUCAGGCCUCAAAGUGCUGAGAGGCUUUGAAAAGAUAUUACAUGUUAAAAAGGUUCAGAAAAGAGGGCAGUCUUUUGAAGCCCUGUGCUGUUAAAAUCUCCACAAAUGGGAAGAAAUGGAGGCUCAAAGUCACUCUGCAAGACUGAAAGUCAGUUUAUGCUUUUGCUUUCUUGUGAAAUGAGCAGACUCAGAAUGGUGGGUGUUCAACAAGAAGGUACUUUUAAAAGCAGAGGGGAGGGAAGAAGAGGUUUUAGAGGUGCCUUCAACUCAUUUUCUGAAACUCUGGAGCCAUAUGUGACUCUGUCUACAGGAAAAUGCAACAGCAUUUCCAGUUUUAUCUGCUCAUGGUAAGAGUGGAAAAGACAGCACAAGUGAGGUCACACCCUUUGGUGGGGCAGGUCUCUUGGGAAGAGACUUGUGCCUGUCCCUCUGUGAGAUCACCUCACCUGCAAGGAUGUCCUGGUGGAAGAGAUGGCGCUUCUGGCCUUCCUGAAGAACACUCCCUUUGCUAAAGUUGUUUUCUCAAAUUUUACAAAAUCACUUCCUGGUUUUGCUUUCUUUUUCUUUAAUGGUGACAGAGCAUCACUGCUUUCCUGUGAAGGAAAGGGAAAAAUGCUUCAGUACAACAGUACUGCAAUAAACUACACCUAGCACAUUGGCUCAUCAUCAUGGUCAACUCUUAAGACAAAAUUUUGCAAUUAGCACGACUGAAAGCAGAAAUUUAAGGCAAGCUCUGUACAGAAAUAGGAAACUAUCAGUGCAAAGCACAGACGGAAGAACUAGUAACAGAUUUGCCAGGCCCAUCAGAGUGCAAACAAACAAGGUUUUCUCCAUGUGGAUGAGGCUGCCUUAUGAUUGAUCCAGCUCUCCUGCACACAAGUGAUUUUUUUUCCCUUGAGCAGAAGCAAAAACUAUUCUGUGGUACCUCUGGAUGCAUAAGAUACACAACCAAUGAACAAACCCAGCUUUGGGCUAAGAUGGAGACUCUGGAGAAAAAAAUAAAGUGGAGUAUGAAGUCUUUACACUCUCAGAAAUCCAGCUAUUGUGUAUUGCUUCUAGUUUGCUGCCUCAAAUUCAUACUCUUGUGGCAUUUAAAGUAAUUCUUCCCUUCAGCAGAAGGCAAUUCUUAGGGCCUGUACUGGCAGAGCUUUCUAACCUGCUGUCUACAGACUGUGGACCAGUCAGAUACCUGUGGACUACAGUCCACAGUUAUGCUUUACAUCAACCAACAGAUGUGAAAUUCCAAAAGCAGUUCACUGACAAGCUGUGGAAAAUGUCCAGGGGAUAUGGCCUCUUUUGAUUUGAAAAUCACUUGUGCUUUCAAUAAAGUGAAAAAUCACAAGACUUUUAGCUUCCUGAAGUCUGGAUACACCUGUGAAAUAAUGCUGAUCUUGUCUGUUUUUUCCCCUUCUCCUCCUCCUCCUCUCUCUCAGGAUUUGAAGCUAAUUCUUUGGAGGGUUGAGGAGUUACACCAACUUCAUUUACCAAGCUGCAUUACUUAACUAAUCCUACAGUUUUAAGUCAGAGGAACAACAUAUUCUGCACAGGAAGAGCCCAUUCAGAAGAGACCUGCCUCAGAAAUCCCCAAACUCAAACCAAACCACCGAAAGCACUGAGAAAACAGCAAUUUAACACUUCUAUAUCUGUGCCUUGCAUCACACACAACCUGAUGUCACAUCCUGCAGCACAAACCCACCCUGUGCAGACAAAACCUCAGCUGGCUGCAGCUGCACCAGUGAGGAACAGCAGCACAGGCUUCAGGCAGCUCAAGCACAUCAUCCAGGACUGUGACCUGCUCUCGUGACAUUGUCACUGGGACAACUGAGAGUGGACAGAAAGCAAAGUGACAGUUGUUUAGGACAGGGUGGCACAUGGUGUAUUUCCACAGAACUCACUUUUUGACCAGCUUGUACAGACGCUUUCUGUUCCGGGAAGGUGUGUUUUUCUUGCUCGCCAAUUCAAAGAGUUUGUCAGCAACAGCCUUGUAAUCAAACUGUCAGAAGGGAAGUACAACAACAAGUUUAUUCAUGCAAGAUAACCCAAUGCAACUCAUGUUACCAACACCUCAAGUAUUGAGUUCAGCCACUUCUUUUAAACCCAAAAUAUUUUUCUCUGUUGAAGUUUACGCCCCCUUCAAACAUGUAUACUGACUUUUCCAGAUUGUUGCUUCAUUAACAGAACAGCUGAACUCAGUAUCACUGUCUCAGAUGUUCUUAACCUUAUUUCUUGCUCAACCUACUUCAAAACUCCCAUAAAUAUUUAGUUAAAUGUCAGAUUUAAAGUGUGUCAUGUCCUAAUUCUUGCUCGAAAGCCACAGAAGCACAAAGUGUAUCUACCUGCAUGUGUGUUUGAUGGGUGGAUCUGUCAAAAACACUACACUGCACUGGAUCUAGAAAACCCAAAUUGUAGCAUGCUACUCUCACUCCUAUGUGUCCCAUCAUCCAUUACUUUUGCCCUUAUUGUCAAUGAAACUUAGAGCUGAUUGCUUCACCACCCACAGUGACUUGGCAUUUAAGUCUUGAAACAGGGAGAGGCAGAAAACAGAAGGCAUGGGAGAGAGGAAAAGAAGAAUUUAGACUUGGGUUUAUUUUACUACAACUCACAGUGUACACAUUACAUUAACAUCACCUUACAUUAAAUCAGAAGGGAAUUAAAAUUUUGUAAUAUUUAUCCAUUAAUGCCCUUUAUUUUUGUACCUUUUGAAAGGGAUGGGGAAAAAAGAAGAGAGAGGAGUAUCAAUAACAGAGCAAAGAAGCCACAAACCUGAAGAACGGUCCCAAUCCCGUUAUCAGCCUUUUUAUCAAUAUGCUCUGUUUUUUCAGAGCUCUGCACUGAUUUUCUUGAAAAACAUCUGUCUGCAAUUAUAGAAAAAAGAUUGAGUAUUAAUGCUCAGUUUGUUUGAGAUAGUAAAUCCAAAAGUGCAAGCUUUGUUAAGCGCAUUUGGAGGGAAGACAGGAAAACACAAUUAUCCUUACAACACCCUGAACAGAGCAGAAAUGUAUUUUUCAGAAGCAGAUUUUUCAAUCCUAUCAAGUCUUACCAGGGCAACUUAGAACCUCCUCCUCACCUUUGGUUUUAGGCACCUCCUCCUUUUCCUGUUUGUCUUCUUCAGAAACAUCCUCCUCGUCACUGUUGCUGCCCAGUUCUUUCAUCAGGUCCUCGAUGGCAAAGGGGGACUGAUCCACAAUCAGCUCAAAGAUUCCGGUGGCUACAGCGUGCAGCAAACACCGACUGCGUGAGGAGAGAGCAGGGACAGAGCUGAAAGGCAGGAGUGUAAACACCCUCCCCUCUCACAUUAAAAGAGUGGAAAUUUGAGGGACACAGAGAAAGAAGUGGAAGAACAUCUAGCUCUUCAGAUGAGGGAACUGAACUGGUCCUUCAGUCCAAACAGGAUGCUAAUGUCCCUCUCUUAAUUUUCACUGCUUAUAUGGUGCUCUAUAAUACAUUGCAACAACAAAGAAGACAACCAGCUCAGCUGCUCUAUGCAUGUUAAAAAAAAUAAAAUAACUAGAUAUAUUAACCAACAGAGGUUGGUUAUAGUCGUUAUAAAUCCAUGAUUACCUACACCUUUGAUAAACACAAGUUAUCUUCAAAUGACUGUGCACAUGGCUGCUAAAAUAACCUUCUUUCUUUACAUUCUGAGGUUAAGACUCUUCUUCAAUCCAUUUAUUACCAUGUGGAGUGGUAAAUUCAGAUUUUCUAAAUUCUUAAAAAAUAUUUGUCUUUUCAUUAAACUUACUCCUUUGAUUUGGCAGCAAGUCUGCAGAAAGGUUCAAUGAACUUGAGAUUCUGGUCUGCUGUGAGCUGCAUGAUGAGAAAGAAAAAAGUAGUGAGUACAAUAAAUGUUGUAUGUGUACACCCAAA
This is a long non-coding RNA of Pipra filicauda (Wire-tailed manakin), 6838 nucleotides long. RefSeq lists it as uncharacterized. Lineage: Eukaryota; Metazoa; Chordata; Aves; Passeriformes; Pipridae. The transcript is spliced from 3 exons. The record is from RefSeq and is a predicted model, not a curated record.